RNAcentral lists this ribosomal RNA (752 nucleotides) under uncultured Actinomyces sp. Its description in RNAcentral is "bacterial SSU rRNA". It matches the Rfam family "Bacterial small subunit ribosomal RNA", at positions 28 to 776 of the family's 1533-position model. Lineage: Bacteria; Bacillati; Actinomycetota; Actinomycetes; Actinomycetales; Actinomycetaceae. The record is from RNAcentral.
GACGAAACGCGGCGGCGUGCUUAACACAUGCAAGUCGAACGCUGAAGGCCCAGCUUGCUGGGUUGGAUGAGUGGCGAACGGGUGAGUAACACGUGAGUAACCUGCCCCCUUCUUUGGGGUAACGGUCGGAAACGGCUGCUAAUACCGGGUAUUCACUGUCCUUCGCAUGGGGGGUGGUGGAAAGGUUUUUUCUGGUGGGGGAUGGGCUCGCGGCCUAUCAGCUUGUUGGUGGGGUGAUGGCUUACCAAGGCUUUGACGGGUAACCGGCCUGAGAGGGUGACCGGUCACAUUGGGACUGAGAUACGGCCCAGACUCCUACGGGAGGCAGCAGUGGGGAAUAUUGCACAAUGGGCGAAAGCCUGAUGCAGCGACGCCGCGUGAGGGAUGGAGGCCUUCGGGUUGUAAACCUCUUUCGCUCAUGGUCAAGCCGCAACAGUGGUUGUGGUGAGGGUAGUGGGUAAAGAAGCACCGGCUAACUACGUGCCAGCAGCCGCGGUAAUACGUAGGGUGCGAGCGUUGUCCGGAAUUAUUGGGCGUAAAGGGCUUGUAGGCGGUUUGUCGCGUCUGCCGUGAAAUCCUCUGGCUUAACUGGGGGCGUGCGGUGGGUACGGGCAGGCUUGAGUGCGGUAGGGGAGACUGGAACUCCUGGUGUAGCGGUGGAAUGCGCAGAUAUCAGGAAGAACACCGGUGGCGAAGGCGGGUCUCUGGGCCGUUACUGACGCUGAGGAGCGAAAGCGUGGGGAGCGAACAGG